AGCAGCCGCGGUAAUUCCAGCUCCAAUAGCGUAUAUUAAAGUUGUUGCAGUUAAAAAGCUCGUAGUUGAAUUUCGGGAUCAAAGGAUCGGUCAUGCCUUGGUAUGUACUGGUUUUAUUGGUUCUCACCUUCUAAAGAACCAUAAUGUCAUUCAUUUGAUGUUAUGGGGAAUUAGGACUGUUACCUUAGAAAAAAUUAGAGUGUUUAAAGCAGGCUUACGCUUGAAUACAUUAGCAUGGAAUAAUGAAAUAGGACAUCAGAUUCUAUUUUGUUGGUUUCUAGGAUCGAUGUAAUGAUUAAUAGGGAUAGUUGGGGGCAUUAGUAUUCAAUUGUCAGAGGUGAAAUUCUUGGAUUUAUUGAAGACUAACUACUGCGAAAGCAUUUGCCAAGGAUGUUUUCAUUAAUCAAGAACGAAAGUUAGGGGAUCGAAGACGAUCAGAUACCGUCGUAGUCUUAACCAUAAACUAUGCCGACUAGGGAUCGGAUGAUGUUAAUUUAUAAUGACUCAUUC
RNAcentral lists this unclassified non-coding RNA (510 nucleotides) under uncultured Glomus. RNAcentral's name for it is "SSU rRNA". It matches the Rfam family "Eukaryotic small subunit ribosomal RNA", at positions 569 to 1081 of the family's 1831-position model. The record is from RNAcentral. Lineage: Eukaryota; Fungi; Glomeromycota; Glomeromycetes; Glomerales; Glomeraceae.